Non-coding RNA from Caenorhabditis elegans, 97 nucleotides. NCBI's taxonomy places the organism in Eukaryota, Metazoa, Nematoda, Chromadorea, Rhabditida, Rhabditidae. The record is from Ensembl.
AGCCUAAGCCUAAACCUAGGCCUAAGCCUAACCCUAAGCCUGAGUCUGAGCCUAAGCCUAGACCAAAGCUUAAGCCUAAGCCUAAGCCUAAGCCUAC